Molecule: long non-coding RNA, 666 nt
Organism: Daphnia pulex (common water flea)
Lineage: Eukaryota; Metazoa; Arthropoda; Branchiopoda; Diplostraca; Daphniidae
Exons: 3
Source: RefSeq, a predicted model, not a curated record
AUUGGUGGAUCGGUGAAUAAUGAUUGAUGAGUCAUUUUAAAAGUCGUCCACGUCGUGCAAGUGCUAUUUUGUACUCUCCUAGAGAUUCCCCAACGUGUUUGGUGUUUUGUCGAAGAAAAAUGAAGUCCAGAUAUCCAGAGUUCCAGACCAAGAUGAUAGGAGGAGCCCAAACCCUACCCAGAAACCAAACAUGGAGAAGAGGAACUUGAGUUUGGUGAUUACUGAUUAGUCAUCGUGGUCAUCAUGAACGUGGAAGCAAACGGCAAUCUCGAGACAAUCGGAAUUAAAUAGUGAGUGAAAUUAUUUCCAUUUUUCGUUUAGUUAGCAGGAUGCAAAUGAAUUUACUAUGCAUCGUCAGUGUGAGCACUGAAUGUGGGUAUCGUUUUUGAAUUGAGAACUCUUUUGGCGUUCAACUCUUGAUCGCUAGAUGGCUUCUUUGUCGUUAGAACUUAGAAGAACAAAUCCCAACUUUUCGCUUCGCUUUUCCUAGAUAUUGUUUACAGAAAACAUAUCACAUAGUAAGACCACAAAAGAAAAGACAAUGGAAGAAUACAAGAGAAGAACUUGUAUUGUGGUACAACAAUUGGACAAUGUUUUUUUAAAACAGUUUGUUCAAUGGGCGACAACUCGAGAAUCGUCUCGUUUCCCGCCGAAUUCUAAGAUCAA